RNAcentral lists this ribosomal RNA (492 nucleotides) under uncultured bacterium. RNAcentral describes it as "partial 16S ribosomal RNA". It matches the Rfam family "Bacterial small subunit ribosomal RNA", at positions 29 to 507 of the family's 1533-position model. The record is from RNAcentral.
AGUGAACGCUGGCGGUGGGCCUAACACAUGCAAGUCGAACGGCAGCACAGUAAGAGCUUGCUCUUACGGGUGGCGAGUGGCGGACGGGUGAGGAAUACAUCGGAGUCUACUUUUUCGUGGGGGAUAACGUAGGGAAACUUACGCUAAUACCGCAUACGACCUACGGGUGAAAGCAGGGGAUCUUCGGACCUUGCGCGAUUGAAUGAGCCGAUGUCGGAUUAGCUAGUUGGCGGGGUAAAGGCCCACCAAGGCGACGAUCCGUAGCUGGUCUGAGAGGAUGAUCAGCCACACUGGAACUGAGACACGGUCCAGACUCCUACGGGAGGCAGCAGUGGGGAAUAUUGGACAAUGGGCGCAAGCCUGAUCCAGCCAUACCGCGUGGGUGAAGAAGGCCUUCGGGUUGUAAAGCCCUUUUGUUGGGAAAGAAAAGCAGCAGGUUAAUACCCCGCUGUUCUGACGGUACCCAAAGAAUAAGCACCGGCUAACUUCGUG